AGUGAACGCUGGCGGUAGGCCUAACACAUGCAAGUCGAACGGCAGCACAGUAAGAGCUUGCUCUUACGGGUGGCGAGUGGCGGACGGGUGAGGAAUACAUCGGAAUCUACUUUUUCGUGGGGGAUAACGGAGGGAAACUUACGCUAAUACCGCAUACGACCUACGGGUGAAAGCAGGGGAUCUUCGGACCUUGCGCGAUUGAAUGAGCCGAUGUCGGAUUAGCUAGUUGGCGGGGUAAAGGCCCACCAAGGCGACGAUCCGUAGCUGGUCUGAGAGGAUGAUCAGCCACACUGGAACUGAGACACGGUCCAGACUCCUACGGGAGGCAGCAGUGGGGAAUAUUGGACAAUGGGCGCAAGCCUGAUCCAGCCAUACCGCGUGGGUGAAGAAGGCCUUUGGGUUGUAAAGCCCUUUUGUUGGGAAAGAAAAGCAGCAGGUUAAUACCCCGCUGUUCUGACGGUACCCAAAGAAUAAGCACCGGCUAACUUCGUG
This 492-nucleotide ribosomal RNA is filed under the name uncultured bacterium. Its description in RNAcentral is "partial 16S ribosomal RNA". It matches the Rfam family "Bacterial small subunit ribosomal RNA", at positions 29 to 507 of the family's 1533-position model. The record is from RNAcentral.